This 480-nucleotide ribosomal RNA is filed under the name uncultured bacterium. Its description in RNAcentral is "partial 16S ribosomal RNA". It matches the Rfam family "Bacterial small subunit ribosomal RNA", at positions 28 to 523 of the family's 1533-position model. The record is from RNAcentral.
GACGAACGCUGGCGGCGUGCUUAACACAUGCAAGUCGAACGAUGAAGUUCCUUCGGGAAUGGAUUAGUGGCGAACGGGUGAGGAACACGUGAGAAACCUGCCUUUCAUUUUGGGAUAACUCCGGGAAACCGGGGCUAAAACCGAAUACUCCGUCUCGGCGGCAUCGCUGAGCAGGGAAGAAAUUUUGAUGAAAGAUGGUCUCGCGGCCUAUCAGCUAGUUGGUGAGGUAAUGGCUCACCAAGGCAACGACGGGUAGCCGGCCUGAGAGGGCGACCGGCCACACUGGGACUGAGACACGGCCCAGACUCCGACGGGAGGCAGCAGUGGGGAAUAUUGGGCAAUGGGCGCAAGCCUGACCCAGCGACGCCGCGUGAGGGAUGAAGGCCUUCGGGUUGUAAACCUCUUUCAGUAGGGAAGAAGCGAAAGUGACGGUACCUAAAGAGGAAGCACCGGCUAACUAUGUGCCAGCCGCCGCGGUAA